AUUAUUAUAGUUUAUAAAAACAUUGGAUUUUCAGACCAAAAAAGGGUAUUAACCCUAAUAAUG
RNAcentral lists this transfer RNA (63 nucleotides) under Bostrichoidea sp. 7 KM-2017. RNAcentral describes it as "tRNA-Glu". The record is from RNAcentral. Lineage: Eukaryota; Metazoa; Arthropoda; Insecta; Coleoptera.